This 3203-nucleotide long non-coding RNA is filed under the name Gossypium barbadense (sea-island cotton). RNAcentral describes it as "long non-coding RNA (GBAR_LNC004111)". Lineage: Eukaryota; Viridiplantae; Streptophyta; Magnoliopsida; Malvales; Malvaceae. The record is from RNAcentral.
UUGAUUUUCAAUUUAAUUUCGUUAGAACAACUUUUCUAGAAAACAAAUUCCUUUACAUAAAACGGAUUACAUAUACAACGUUGUUUCCAUAUUCCAGGCGAAGACACCGAUCCCUUUUCUUCGUGAAAUCCAAAUCUCGCAAGCCUCCAAUAAAUGCCUCCACUAGCUCUUCCUUGCUUGAUCCAGGCCAAGACUCAUUAUCCUUACGACAUUGAUUAGCUCCAUUAAGAAAAUCGAGAUGCGACGGCUCUCGAACAAUCUUUAUCGGUUUGAAUCUCCAGGUAAAGACUUGUUUUUAUCCACGAACUAUCAGCCUUCAUCCUUCAAUUCAGACAACUGUAUUAUAAUCCACUUUAUCAAGAAAUUCAUUUUCUUAUGACAAACUGUUCUAUUUAGCAAUAAAAUAUGAAUCAACAUCUCAUUUCUAUGAUGAUGUAAUGCAAUGCAAUUAUAAAAAAAACAAAACACGUUAGUACAAGUGAGAUAAAUAUCAAAUAAAGUACCUAUUCAGGUGACCACUAAAUUUGGGCAAGGUUCUACUUAAGGUGGAUUCUCAAGGUUCACUAUAUGUAGCUCGGUUCUAGAAAAAAGGUGCCUGACCCAGCAAAUUCCUCAAUUCUCACCCAUUAUAGGCUCAUAUGAAUCUAGUUCGGUUCAGGGGAAUACAUUUCCCUAUGACCAUGCAGAGAUGAAAAUCUCACGAAAUCAUAGCUACGGAUGUAUCCCAAAAACAAUCCACUAGCCCAUACGGAGGAGAAAACCUCACGAAAGCAUAGUUUCUUACUCCCACUUAACAGGUAUAACCACAGCGGUCAUGCAAUGCAAUGCCAUAUUAUUCUACAAGACUCGAACCACAACAAUCAUGCAAACAAAUGCAAUUAAAAGAAUCAUGAUUUUCAAAACAAAUUUUCAAUUCUUUGACAAAAGGACAGCAAAUAAUCAAUUUUAUGGCCUGACUCUCUUUGUUCAAUCCCUAGUGGAGUCGCUAAGCUGUCGAAACCAUUUUUUCAAGUUAGGAAAAAACAGGGAUCGACCUUUAAAACCGAGUGUGGAGUUGCCACCAAUCUUUGUGAUUGGAUCACCUAAUAAAACAUUUUAAAACAAUUUUGGUCCACGUAAAUUUAAAAAAAUGGGUUCGGGAACUGGUUACGUAUGAGGAAGGGUUAGCACCCUUACUACGCCCAAAGAUUGGUACCAGAUUGAUUACAUGUUAUCCUUAUGUUUAAGGUUUUAGAAAAGAAAUUUUGAAAUAUGAUUAUUAUUAGAGCACGUGCGUGGUUCAAAUUGGUUGUCAAAAUUCUCUCGUUUCAAAGACAUGCAGCAUCAUAUCCAGCACGAUUGGACACGAUCCUUUAUACCUUCAAAAAUACGAUUGAUUUUUCACUGUCAAAUGCUCGUACGUUAAAAUUAUAAAAGGAUACUCGAAUAUUUAGUUCAACGAAAAAUCAUACCCAGCACAGUAAGGCACAAUUUCCCGAAUUCCUGAAUAUUGAAUACUGCUUAUUUCAGGAUUUUUGAAUAAUAAGGAAAAUUGGAACUUAGCUCAAAACGCUUUAAUUUUUCUUGAAAUAAAAAUGAGACAGCUAAUAUCAACCAAAAUAUUGAAAUUUGAAUCAAGAUGCAACAAUAUAGAAAAAAUCAAAGUUACAAACAUGGAUUACUAUACGAAAUAUUAUACAAGUAAACAAAAAGAACAAAUUAACAUAAUUUAAAUAAUAGUACAAAAGGCUAAUAAUCAAUAUAAAACAACAAUACAUGAAAUAAUAUGAAAACUAAAGUGACACAUAGCACACAAAAUAAUUUGGAAACAAUUUGAAAACUAUUAAAUAUAUGAAAACUUACAAAAUGAACAAUACAUGAUUGGGUUUGAAAUGAUGUACAUAUAUAAAAUAAAACUAAGAAUAUGUAAAUGAAUAUGAAAAUAAACGUUGUGAAAGAAGACAUUUGGAGCUAAUAACAUGCAAGAAUGUUUUAAAAACAAAACCUAUAUAUUUAAAGGUGUUAAUGUACAUACAAUAAUAAAGAUCAAUAAAACAAUAUAUAAUGAAAAUAUAACAUAAUAACAAAGAAUAAACAAUAUACAUGAAAGAAGAACGAACCAAUAUACAAUGAAACUAUAUAUAGAUGAAAGAAUCUUAAAUAACAAAGAAAUAAUAAUAUAUGUAUUUUUUAAAGAAUAAAUUAUAUACAUAAUAAAUUUAAAAGGAAAUACAAAUAAAUAUAUUUAAAAGAAAUUAUAUAUAUAAUAACAUAGAAUUAAUAGUGUUUAUAAUAUAAAACUAAUUUUAAUAUAAAUUAUAUUUUACUAAUAUAUAUACAUAAGGGUAGUUAAAUUAAAUAUUAUGGAAAAAUUUCAAACAAGAUAAUAUAGAAUAUCUUAAAAUAAUAACUAUAUAAUUAAACAAAUAAAGAAAAAAACAAAUGUAAGUGAAAUACUAGAUUGAAAUGAAGUAAAAAUGAUUAGAGCAAUUCAAAAUAUAUAUAUAAAUAAUUUUCUAAAGAAAUGAAUAUUAAAAAAUAUAUAUAUUGAGAUGAAAGAAAAACUUAAUUGAAGUAAAAUCAAACUUAAAAAGAUAAUUAAUAAAAAAACUAUUGAAAUAAUGACUAAAUCACAGUAUGCGCGAACGUUCAGGGAUCAAAACUAAAAAUUACCCAGAUCCCAAAACAUGGCUCCUAAGUGCAUACCUAAUUGCAAAGACACGCAAAUUCUAGGGACAAAUUGUAACAAAAUAAAAUGUAAAUAAGGAUCAACGAAAAGUCUGCGCAAAAACAAGGGACUUGUCGCUCAAAUUUACCAUCCGAAACGCCAAGGCGCAGAUCCAGCCUGUGGAUUGGGCUUGCGCGCGGAUCUGCCCCCUAUACAUGGCACCGUUUUAGUUAAUUCCUAACUAAAAGAAAUUAAAUGGCAAUCUGCCAAUUCCCUCAAACAACCGAAGCAAAUCCUUAGCUUUUCCCCCUUCUAACUGUCAGUUCAUCUCCGCAUAAUGGUGCUCUCAAUCUUGGAGUAACCUUUUAGCCUUGGAGUCUCUUUUGAUUCGAUUUCAACGAAACAAAAAGAAGAAAUCCAUGGCAUAUUCGCACGGUAAGGUUUUCCCUUUCUUUUGUUUUUUUUUUUAUGUUUUAAAUGCGAAAAAACUAAAAGACCAAAAGAAUAAAUCGAAAAGAAAAUCAAAAGCCUCAAGAACUUUGGAUUAGAAAAUCAC